AUGAAUUGGAUUAUGAUCCAAAAUGUACCACUACUACUACAAACACAACUACAACUACAAAUACAAAUAAAAAUACAAAUAAAAAAUACAACUACAAAUACAGUUACAAAUUUGUUUGAUUCAAAUGAAAAUGUAUCGAUUGAUAGUGUUAUGUCAUCGCAUGGACAUAUUUCUAUCUCUACCAAUUCUAAUGAAUAUAAUGACUUCAACGAAAUAGAGAGUAAUUUACAUAUGGAUAACAUACACAAUGGAUUUAAUAGUAGUAAAAAAAAUUAUAUUAAUAAUAUAAUACCACCAAUUAAUAAUAAAAAGAUUACAAAUCCUAAUUUUAUACCUUUAGGAAAAAAUAAAAAUUUAUUUACUGAUCCAUUAUUAAAUACAAAAAACAUAUAUGAUCCUACAAAAGUUCUAAAUGUUGAAAAUGGAAUUGAUACAAAUACGAAUAUAAUAAAUAAUAUAAAUAAUAAUAAUGAAAACAUAAAUCCUGAUAUACAUAUCAAUAUAAAUAACAACUUUCCCAAUAUAAAGAAUAACUUUCCCAAUAUAAAUAACAGCUAUGGUAAUAUGACUGCAAAUACUAUGUCAGUGGCACCACCAUUAGGACCUCCACCCCUACCUAUGUUUCCAAACUUUUUUAAUUUACCAUUUAUGAAUAAUGCAGUUGUACCUACAAACGAAAUGUUACCUUUUCAGAAUGCCCAACAGUUACCAUUAACUCAGCCAAUGGGCAUUGACCCCGUGUUUAUGCAAGAAUGGUCACAAAUGCUCAUGAAUUAUUCGGAAAAUCUUUUAUCCCACGCACCUGCUCCCGAUACUAACCCUCCUCCUCUACCAUCAGAAAAUAUAAACAAUGAUGAUGAACAAAAUGUCACGUAAAAAAAAAAAAAAAAAAAAAAAAAAAAAAAAAAAAAAAAAAAAAAAGCUAAGGCGAUCUGGCUACAACAAGAUAUCGCGAGAUUAUAUAUAAAUAUAUAUACACACAUAGACUAAUUAAAUAAUUCAUGGUUCCUUUAUUUACAUAGGAAAAAAAAAAAAAAACAUACACACAUACAUACAUACAUACAUACAUACAUACAUAUACAUACGUACGAAAACAUCAAUGACUAUUUUUACGCUUUCGCUUUUUUUCUUUCUGUUAAAUGCUCUAAUAGCUUAAUUUUGAUUUUUUAGUACAUAUAUACAACAUUUUUGAAAUAUUCAUAUAUAUAUAUAUAUAUAUAUAUAUAUAUAGCGUUACUGCUAUUGCCACUAUACCAACAAAACAUUACUACCAUUAUUAGCAUUGUAUAGUAUUCAUGUUAGUAAUGUAUAAUACAAAAUUUUGUUUAGUUAUAGUUAACACACGACAAUGGAGAUCCCUAUCAUUUUAACGGUUUUAGUAACAUGUUAAUAAUUUGUUUUGAAACUUUUUUUUUUUAUUUCAUUUACUAAAUUUAUGUUUUUAUAUAUAGUAGGAAAUUUAGUAUAUAACCAACAGUAUAAAUCUACAAUUUCGUAAUAAACUUCCAACAUUUUAAUAUAGUUAUCCA
Molecule: long non-coding RNA, 1529 nt
Filed under: Piliocolobus tephrosceles (Ugandan red Colobus)
Lineage: Eukaryota; Metazoa; Chordata; Mammalia; Primates; Cercopithecidae
Description: lncRNA (ENSPTEG00000002453.1)
Source: RNAcentral